AACCCGGAGAUAUCUCGUUCUCCCCGAAAUAGCUUUAGGGCUAGCCUCGGCCGUUAACCCGCGGUGGUAGAGCCACCGGAUCGACGAGGGGGCUUCACCGCCUACCGACUCGAACCGAACUCCGAAUGCCGCGGGUCGAGAGGCCGGGAGUCAGAGGGCGUGGGCUAAGCUGCGCGCUCGAGAGGGAAACAGCCCAGACCGCCCGCUAAGGUCCCCAAGUCAUCGCUGAGUGGCAAAGGAUGUGCGUCUGCCCAGACAACCAGGAUGUUGGCUUAGAAGCAGCCAUGCAUUUAAAGAGUGCGUAACAGCUCACUGGUCGAGUGGACAUGCGCCGACAAUUCACGGGGCUAAGCGAUGCACCGAAGCGGCGGACUGAUCUUUCAGUGGUAGGGGAGCUUUCCGCGACCGGCGAAGCCGCAGGGCGACCUGCGGUGGAGGGCGCGGAAGUGAGAAUGCUGGCAUGAGUAACGAGACCAGGGCGAGAAACCCUGGCGCCGUGAGCCUAAGGGUUCCUGGGCGAGGCUAAUCCCCCCAGGGUCAGUCGGGAGCUAAGGCGAGGCCGCGAGGCGUAGCCGAUGCGCAGCGGGCAGACAUUCCCGCACCGCCGACGGCGCGGCAUUACCGAUGGGGCGACGGAGAAGGGUAGCCGGGCGGGGUUCUGGACGUCCCCGUGAAAGCGCGUAGGGAGCAUCGCAUGGAAAUCAGCGGCGCACGUAUCCUGAGACGCGAGACGAAAGCUUAUGCUGAAGUCGGCGAGCCCAUGCUUCCGAGAAAAACCUCUAGGGAGUGCCGUCGGCGCCCGUACCAAAACCGACACAGGUGGGCGGGUAGAACAUACCGAGGCGAUCGGGAGAACCACGGUUAAGGAACUCGGCAUACUGGCCCCGUAACUUCGGGAGAAGGGGCGCCCCCGCCGGUGAAGGCACUUGCUGCCGGAGCUAGUGGGGGCCGCAGCGAAACGGCCCAAGCGACUGUUUAUCAAAAACACAGGACUCUGCAAAGCCGUAAGGCGACGUAUAGGGUCUGACGCCUGCCCGGUGCUGGAAGGUUACGCGGAUGGGUCAGCCGCAAGGCGAAGCUCUGAAGCCAAGCCCCAGUAAACGGCGGCCGUAACUAUAACGGUCCUAAGGUAGCGAAAUUCCUUGUCGGGUAAGUUCCGACCUGCACGAAUGGCGUAACGAUUUGGGCGCUGUCUCAACCGUGGACCCGGUGAAAUUGUACUGUUCGUGAAGAUGCGAACUACCCGCGGAAGGACGGAAAGACCCCGUGAACCUUUACUGCAGCUUGGCAUUGGCAUCUGGUACGGCGCGUAGAGGAUAGGCGGGAGCCUUUGAAGCGGGGGCGCAAGCCCCCGUGGAGGCGACCUUGGAAUACCGCCCUCGUCGUGCCGGCUGCCUAACGCGCGGCCGUGAUCCGGCGCGCGGACCGUGCCAGGCGGGUAGUUUGACUGGGGCGGUCGCCUCCCAAAACGUAACGGAGGCGCGCGAAAGGUCCGCUCAGGACGGUCGGCAACCGUCCCGAGAGCGCAAGAGUGCAAGCGGGCUUGACUGCGAGAGAGACACCUCGAGCAGGGACGAAAGUCGGUUCUAGUGAUCCGGCGGCACAGAGUGGAAUGGCCGUCGCUCAACGGAUAAAAGGUACUCCGGGGAUAACAGGCUGAUCUUGCCCAAGAGUCCACAUCGACGGCAAGGUUUGGCACCUCGAUGUCGGCUCAUCGCAUCCUGGGGCUGAAGUAGGUCCCAAGGGUUGGGCUGUUCGCCCAUUAAAGCGGUACGCGAGCUGGGUUCAGAACGUCGUGAGACAGUUCGGUCCCUAUCCUCCGCGGGCGCAAGGGAGUUGAGGAGAUCUGCCCCUAGUACGAGAGGACCGGGGUGGACGGACCUCUGGUGACGCGGUUGUCGACCAACGGCACCGCCGCCUAGCUACGUCCGGCACGGAUAACCGCUGAAGGCAUCUAAGUGGGAAGCCGCCUCCGAGAUGAGCUCCCUUUCCGGUAAGGGCCCAGAUAGACUAUCUGGUCGAUAGGGCGCAGCUGCAAGCAGGGCGACCUGCUCAGGCGAGCGCUACUAAUAGCCCGAGCUCUUCUUCAU
This 2090-nucleotide ribosomal RNA is filed under the name human gut metagenome. RNAcentral describes it as "bacterial LSU rRNA". It matches the Rfam family "Bacterial large subunit ribosomal RNA", at positions 836 to 2925 of the family's 2925-position model. The record is from RNAcentral.